CUCCGGUGAUCCCGCCCGGACCUGACUGCUAUCGGAUUGGUACUAAGCCAUGCGAGUCGUUGUAGCAAUACAAGGCGGACGGCUCAGUAACACGUAGUCAACCUAACCUAUGGACGUGGAUAACCUCGGGAAACUGAGAAUAAACCGCGAUAGAUCAUUAUGCCUGGAAUGGCUUAUGGUUCAAACAAUUUAUUGCCGUAGGAUGGGACUGCGGCCUAUCAGCUUGUUGGUGAGGUAAUGGCCCACCAAGGCUAUAACAGGUACGGGCUCUGAGAGGAGAAGCCCGGAGAUGGGUACUGAGACACGGACCCAGGCCCUAUGGGGCGCAGCAGGCGAGAAACCUUAGCAAUGUGCGAAAGCACGACUAGGUUAAUCCGAGUGAUUUCUGUUGAAGAAAUCUUUUGUCAGUCGUAAAACCACAGACGAAUAAGGGGUGGGCAAGUCUGGUGUCAGCCGCCGCGGUAAUACCAGCACCUCGAGUGGUCAGGAGGUUUAUUGGGCCUAAAGCAUCCGUAGCCGGCUACGCAAGUCUCCGGUUAAAUCCAGCUGCUCAACAGAUGGGCUGCCGGAGAUACUACAUAGCUAGGGAGCGGGAGAGGUAGACGGUAUUCUGUGGGUAGGGGUAAAAUCCACUGAUCCAUAGAGGACCACCAGUGGCGAAGGCGGUCUACCAGAACGCGUUCGACGGUGAGGGAUGAAAGCUGGGGGAGCAAACCGGAUUAGAUACCCGGGUAGUCCCAGCUGUAAACGAUGCAAACUCGGUGAUGCAUUGGCUUAUGGCCAAUGCAGUGCCGCAGGGAAGCCGUUAAGUUUGCCGCCUGGGAAGUACGGACGCAAGUCUGAAACUUAAAGGAAUUGGCGGGGGAGCA
RNAcentral lists this ribosomal RNA (869 nucleotides) under uncultured archaeon. RNAcentral describes it as "bacterial SSU rRNA". It matches the Rfam family "Archaeal small subunit ribosomal RNA", at positions 1 to 878 of the family's 1478-position model. The record is from RNAcentral.